GGAUGAACGCUGGCGGCGUGCUUAACCCAUGCAAGUCGAACGGAAAGGCCUCUGCUUGCAGGGGUACUCGAGUGGCGAACGGGUGAGUAACACGUGGGUGAUCUGCCCUGCACUUCGGGAUAAGCCUGGGAAACUGGGUCUAAUACCGGAUAGGACAAUGGUUUGGAUGCUGUUGUGGAAAGUUUUUCGGUGUGGGAUGAGCUCGCGGCCUAUCAGCUUGUUGGUGGGGUAAUGGCCUACCAAGGCGUCGACGGGUAGCCGGCCUGAGAGGGUGUACGGCCACAUUGGGACUGAGAUACGGCCCAGACUCCUACGGGAGGCAGCAGUGGGGAAUAUUGCACAAUGGGCGCAAGCCUGAUGCAGCGACGCCGCGUGGGGGAUGACGGCCUUCGGGUUGUAAACUCCUUUCGCUAGGGACGAAGCGUUUUUGUGACGGUACCUGGAGAAGAAGCACCGGCUAACUACGUG
Molecule: ribosomal RNA, 468 nt
Filed under: uncultured bacterium
Lineage: Bacteria
Description: partial 16S ribosomal RNA
Rfam family: Bacterial small subunit ribosomal RNA
Source: RNAcentral